AGUGAACGCUGGCGGUAGGCCUAACACAUGCAAGUCGAACGGCAGCACAGUAAGAGCUUGCUCUUACGGGUGGCGAGUGGCGGACGGGUGAGGAAUACAUCGGAAUCUACUUUUUCGUGGGGGAUAACGUAGGGAAACUUACGCUAAUACCGCAUACGACCUACGGGUGAAAGCAGGGGAUCUUCGGGCCUUGCGCGAUUGAAUGAGCCGAUGUCGGAUUAGCUAGUUGGCGGGGUAAAGGCCCACCAAGGCGACGAUCCGUAGCUGGUCUGAGAGGAUGAUCAGCCACACUGGAACUGAGACACGGUCCAGACUCCUACGGGAGGCAGCAGUGGGGAAUAGUGGACAAUGGGCGCAAGCCUGAUCCAGCCAUACCGCGUGGGUGAAGAAGGCCUUCGGGUUGUAAAGCCCUUUUGUUGGGAAAGAAAAGCAGCAGGUUAAUACCCCGCUGUUCUGACGGUACCCAAAGAAUAAGCACCGGCUAACUUCGUG
This 492-nucleotide ribosomal RNA is filed under the name uncultured bacterium. Its description in RNAcentral is "partial 16S ribosomal RNA". It matches the Rfam family "Bacterial small subunit ribosomal RNA", at positions 29 to 507 of the family's 1533-position model. The record is from RNAcentral.